This 880-nucleotide long non-coding RNA is filed under the name Anser cygnoides (Swan goose). Its description in RNAcentral is "lncRNA (ENSACDG00005008281.1)". Lineage: Eukaryota; Metazoa; Chordata; Aves; Anseriformes; Anatidae. The record is from RNAcentral.
CCCAGGUCAUGGGCACGGACUAGGCUGGAAAUUUGAACAAGGCAUGAGGACGAGUGGAUGGCAGCGUGGGCCAUGAGUUGAUGUCAGCGGGUCCAGUUCCUGGAAUGCUGGAGAUGCUCGGCGUGCAAGAGGAGCAGGGAGCGUGACGCAUCUCUUUGGGACGUUAGCCACAUGACCUUGGCUCGGCACGGCGAAUGGACGCGCUAAACCUUGAUCGGGAAGGUGAGUGGAGAAAAGGUGGAAAAUGGGCAUGGUUUUUGGUUUGGUAGCCUAUCGGUCCACCUCUGGGUGACUCCUGUUUUCAGGGGAUGAAGAAGAAUCUGUCAACAUCCUAGUUGGCCUCCGUGGUCCACACUGAGGAUGGAUUCUGACCCCUGAGAAUUAGAUCAAGGGGCAAAUACUGUGUGUUGGGGGGUGGUUGGCAGGGGGAAGCGGGGAGUUGUCCAGCGGUUGUCUGUCUGAUUUCAGUAGCAGAGCAGGUCAGUUGACUACUGUUCUGCUUCUGAGGGCGUUGCGUUGGAGGAAGUUUGGUUGGCGUGCCGGUGCCUGAUGGCACUUUAUUUCUGCACAUAAAGUGGAGCCUCAUGCCUGAAGCGACGUCCUGGCUAGCCGUUGUGUUCCUUGCUGAGGAUGGAACCUGCCUCCCAGUGUUCCCAAGCUAAGGAUCGCUCCGGCAGGACUUGUGGCGCAGCAGGAUGUGAAGCAGACGGGGGGAAGGUCCCACGGUCCCGAAAUAAGGAGGAUGGCUCAGAAAAACAGGGCAAAAUCAAUAAAACCAAAAAUCACGGGCCCUCUAGGCAUGAGAGAAGAGGGGAAAAAAAAAAAAAAAAAAGGAGAAAUUAAACGGUUGGUCAAAUAAAACUGUACGUGUAGGAUGUCA